AAAUUGAAGAGAUCUUGAAUGAACCUUUGCCUUAUGUCAGUGACUCAACUCUUUACAAAGGUAAAUUGUUUAACGACGAGUAUUUCUAAUUUUUUUUUCAGUUGGAUCUACCAUAGGAUGAUAGAGAAAAGGUUGGAGUGACAUAGAUGAAAGAGAAAAGAAUGAGAGGAACAAGAGAGGUGAGUAAGGGUUUGGGUGUUUCUUUUUUUUUUUUAGAAUGAAAA
This 224-nucleotide long non-coding RNA is filed under the name Vigna radiata. Its description in RNAcentral is "long non-coding RNA (VRAD_LNC012375)". The record is from RNAcentral. Lineage: Eukaryota; Viridiplantae; Streptophyta; Magnoliopsida; Fabales; Fabaceae.